UAUUUCAAGUAUUUUGGUGUUUUGAAUAUAUUUUAGCUAUUUUAGACAUUUACUUUUAACUAUUUAUGUAUAUUUUCAAGUAUUUUAGACAACUUAAAAUUAUCUUAUAUAUUUUGGAUGUUUUUAAUAUAUAUUAAAUCUAAAAAUAAGUAAUAUAUUUAGGUAUAUAAAUCUAUUUCGAUUACAUUCGGAUACCCGAGAUACUUCGGUUCGGAUCGGAUUCGGUUUCGGUUCUUUAGAUACCAAAAUUUUGAACCCGUUCGGAUAUUUAAUCAAUUUCGGUUCGGAUUCGGUACUACUUUUUCGGAUCGGAUUCGGUUCGGUUCUUCGGAUCCGGGUUUCUCGCCCAGCCCUAGCUAUUAUAUAUAUUUGCUAACCUGGUAAUAGGUACCAAAAUGGCAAAACGUGAAUAAUAAAUUAUCACGUAAUAACACACACUAUCGUUACAAAAAAUGCAGGAUCCUGGAGAUUAAUACCCGUGACAGUCCGCACUCGUGGUCUACAAAACCACCGUAAGGGAUUUCUUAUGAUUUUCUUUGGACUUUGCUUUAUGGGUGGCUUAUAUAUAUAGUAUUAUUUUCAAUAAAAUUCGCGGCAUAUUCCAUUUUUGCAUUUGUUCUCAACUCUCAGCAUUUAGCACCAGUAAAAACUAUUCGGCAUCUCAGAAGAGAAUUAAACGAGCGAAAUAAUUGAAUUGUUUAACUGACGCCUUACACAUUAACACGUCUCGAGCAGAAUAAGUUCAUUAUAUUUGAGUACAAUUGUUUAACUGAUGCCUAUAUUGGUAACUUGACGUACAAUUGGUAAAUUUAAGAUUAAUUUGUUUUAAUAAUUUAAUUGGUGUAUUUUCUGGUUAUCUAUUGAGUUGGCAAACAAAUAUAUAUAUAUAUAUUGAGUAUAUAUUCUUGAUCAUGAGUUCGAUGACGAAGGUGGCGAAAAAAGAUUAACAUAUUUUUUUAUCUCCGAAUUGAGAAAAAUAUGAACUUAACCUUAUAACAUUUUUUUACUUUAGUUAAAAUAUAAAACAAUAGUCUAUGAUAUUAAACUAUAUGGUGCAAUAUUGCUCUAUUUUAGUUAGUUAAGUUACAUUUUUGCUUAAAUAUUAAACUACAGGCUUGUGAUACAUUAAACUAUAUACGAUGCAUUUCUAUAAUUCAGAUAAUUAGACGUAAUUAAGCUCCGCAAUUGAUAUAUCACAUCAACCUCUGAUAUUUUUGUUUGUUUGUUUUGUCUGUUGUUGUGUUGAGUUGCUUUUUUCGCCUUGUUUUGGCUGUUCAUUGGCUGUCGUUAAGAAAAUAAUUGAAAACAAAAAAGGUUAAACGCGAAUAACUAUUCUAAUACAAGCGAAGAACUGAUUCCCAAUAAGUAAUUAUCUCCCAGUUUGACCAGAAUUCAUUCACAAAAUUCAAGAUCUUUUAUAGGAUUGUCGUUGCCGUUUAUAGGUUAUGAGAUUUGACCACUAUCAACUGCAGUGGUACUGUUCAAUCCAAUCCCAUACCACGCAAAUGUCUCUCUUUCCAUACAUCUGCCCCAUUGCAUGUAGGAGGGAGAGAGAGAAGAAAGAGACAGAAAAAACAAAUACAGAGAUAAGACUCUUGAUAGAGAGUGAGCGACAUGGAGAGAUAAGGUUUUUUGUUUCCUUCUUUAACAUAGAUUCUUCCUCUCUUCACAUUUCCUCUUAAUCUAAUCUUUAUUUCCUUUGUUCUUUCUUUUUUGGUAAUUUAUUUUCCUCUCCUCACGAUUUGGUCAAAAGUCAAAACCCUAGAUUUGUGGGUAUCUAAAAAUGAAUAAAACUUUCCUCUCUACCUUUGGUUAUAAAUAUUCUCUCUGGCUUUCUUGCUUACCCUAAGCCCUCUCAGAUCUAACUCUACAGCCUCAGGGUCUCCUCCUUUCAAAUGCCUUAGGUCUCUGAUUACACAAUUUGUGUCGGUAAGGCCAUAUUGAGUGAGUGUUUUGGGACAAGUUUUAGAGAAACGCAAAGAAACUGACAGAAGAGAGUGAGCACACAAAGGCACUUUGCAUGUUCGAUGCAUUUGCUUCUCUUGCGUGCUCACUGCUCUAUCUGUCAGGUUCCGGCACCGAUUCUUUUUGGUCCGUUCACUUUUUCUUCUUUGAUUGUGUUCCCAUCUCUCUCACAGUCUCACCCACUUUCUUUCUCCAUAGGUUUUGAUUGUCUAUGCCAGAGAUGAACGCAGUGUUUACGGUAACCUAUUAACUUGUACUUGGGAUGUUGAUUUAGGGUUUUUGUGUCAUGUUUUAUCAGUUGAUUGCCGCAGGUUUCACAUAUGUAUAUAUGAAUGAUCUAGUUUAGAGUCAGGAUAUUAAACAAUGUUUGACUCAUUAUAAGGUGAGUAGGAUCUGGAUAGAACUGUUGUUGUGCACAUCCACUAUCAGAAUACCUACACUAAUAAUUUAAUUGGUUAUAUGUCGUUGCAACUGAAUUUUGCCUGAAUCCUGAAUCCUGAAAUUGUCCAAGUUCAAUGUUAUCAAGUCAUCAUCUUAAGAAACUGAAGUAUUACCUGGUAAUUGGCUCUUCUUGAUAAGCUAGCCACUUAAAAUCAUUUCUUGUGAAGAGCAUUUCCUUCUUUUCUAAAACUUAUUUUGUUGUAUAAUAUAGGCACAAAGAAAGUAGAUGUGAUUAAGAAAAUCGAAUUAAAUAUUCUAGUCAGCCGUUUCAAAAUAUUCAAAAGAUUAUAUUCUUCUUGAAGCAAUAUAAAGUCAAUAUUUAUCAACCAAGUUGAUAAUAAUGAAAUAAAAGAAAUCAAAACAUGUAAGUUACAUAUUUAAUUGCCGCUAGCUUGAAAACUUAACCAAAGAAAGUUUCCCUCUGAUUAAUUAACCAUUAUCUUAAAUUGUGUUGUUGUAUAUAGUCUUUAAACCUUCGAUUAAGUUGUGUAGAAAACAUGGAGGAGUCGAGCGAGAGGGUUGUUCGGUUAGAGCAACACGAUGAGAUCACGAUGGGCGAUGACUUGAUUAUCCAUUCCAUCCCACAGGACCUAGCACUAGCAGUAUCGGCGAUAUAUGAUCGCAUGAUGGUAGAUGUGGAGGAGUUAUUGUUUAACCAAAUCAGAGACACCUUCCUCUCGUAUACCACCCCAUCAUACUUAGGCUUCGUCGGUCUCCCCGACGAAGAAUGCCAACUACCACGGCCAGCUCUUUGUAAGGCUAGACGGAGACGCGAUCCUCCGCCUCGAGUAUCUAGACGAUCCUCGCAGGUGUCUCCACCGAUUUAUCUACGCCAUAGGUUUCUGCCACAGUCACGUAAAGACUCUUCUUCUCGACGCCAACGUUGAUCUUCUAAUCAUUUAUAUGAUAUGAUGUUCUUUGUGUCAUUGUGUGUUGUGUCUACAUAUCAUAAUAAUAAUCGGAUGUAUCCGAAGUGUGUACGGUUUAUUUGAAAUUCUGGUAUACAACAAUAAACCGGGAAAUUUAUGUACCAACUCCCGGUUAUUGAGACUAUAAAUCUCUCUCUAUCUUUCUUUC
Molecule: RNA transcript, 3483 nt
Organism: Brassica napus (rape)
Lineage: Eukaryota; Viridiplantae; Streptophyta; Magnoliopsida; Brassicales; Brassicaceae
Exons: 2
Source: RefSeq, a predicted model, not a curated record